UAGUUCAGGAGGAAUCUGCAUGUAUAAUUAAGUCAUAUGGUUAGUCCACAGAUGACAGAAACCAGUAAAAUAUAAAGGUGGCGAUGUUAAAAUUUUCAGAGAGAGGCAGAACUGCAAAGCAACGUUUCCGAAAAGGAUGAAAGAAAGGCACCAGCUACCUGGGGAGCUAUCACAGUUUUUAAGAAAAGGGCCAUUUCACCACCUGAAACAGAAGGUAGUUUUUGGCUAGGUACAUCAACCAAGCAACGAAUUUCAGUGCUGCUAAUAGGAUAAAACAAGAUAGGUGAAGGAUCUUCCAGUAUAAUAGCUCCAUAAUUUGCAUGCGGAAGUUUACAGUUCUCCAGAACCAAACCAACAAAAUAAGAGGGGAUAUCAACCUGCAGAAACAAUCAAGAACUUUGUAUUUCUCAAAGCAUAAAACGCAAGAAGAUUAAGCAAGAAAGUAUGAAUGUGCCCAUUUGUAUGUGCUCCUUAUGGACUCAAAGCUUCUCUUAUUUCCCCAAAAACUUACAUUACCAUUUUCUAAGCAAUUCAUGUAAAUGAAAAACUUUCUUUCAACAUGAUUUUUCUUAUAGAAGAUCAGUUAAGUUUAGUAAGAAAUUUGAUAAUUGACAAGAUUUGCUCAGCAAUUUCACCUUAGGGUAGCAGAGAGAGCGUCUCAAAUUUGAGAAACCACCAUCGCAGACAAUGGUGAGGGGAGCCGAUGCUGUCAGCUCUUGACCACUCUUGUUUUUGUAAUGAACUCCUUGAAUAGUCCCACUUUCUUCAAGCAGAGAUGUUACUGUCCCUUGUUCUAGAUUUACACUACACAAUCAAAGGAUAAAAGAACAUGAAUUUGGAUUUGAAAGUCCCAUUUUAUCACUUGCAUCUUAGAAGUUAGCUUUGCAAAUUUGUACAAGUCAAGAUUUUGAUAACAGAAGAAAAACAGUGUAUAUAUUUUGUCAUGGCAGGGGCCACUAAAGCAAAACAGAACAAUGAAAGUAAUCUGGGAAAAAGUCGAAAAAGGGUAAUAUGAACAUCAGCAAUGAACACUGGCACUAACAUAAAUUGUUUGAUAUUGAAGAAUGAUUAUGAUGAAGUAGAUAAGUACUUGGGAAGAGAUGCAGCUUUCUCCCGCAACUUUUGUACAAAGCGUCCAUUAUGGAAGUUUCUUCCAGCCACAUGGGACUGAAACUUUUCCAGGGGAAAAGAUAUCUUGGUGCCGUUUCCAUCCUUGUACAGAUCAUAACCAGAAAUUCGCUGAGCAUCAAUCCCAUCUACACAAUCUGCAGUGCCAAAAAUCAAUGUAACAAAAUUUGGCGCGGAACACAGAGAGAGAGAGAGAGAAAAGAGCAAGAAGAAAAGAGUUGCGCACCAUCCAGGCCUAACUCAAUUAACUUGACGUAGCCCCCUGGUAAUAAAGCUUCGCCAGCAAUUCUGUCAGGCGGAUUUAACUCUCUCUCGAUCACAUGCACUCGACGUCCGUCCUGCAACAUGUAAUUGCAGAGAAGAAUUUCAGUUAGUUUAUAUCAUAAAAGGAAUGGGCCAGAACAUAACAGAAGCUUAUGCUAUAGAGGGAAAAGAAAGAGAGAGAGAGAGAGAUUCAGACCUUUCCUAGGGAAUAGGCAAGAGCAGCACCUGCAACUCCGGCACCGACUAUGAUAAUAUCUGUAGCCCCAACAACCUCGCCGUUCCCCGUUUUCUUCACACAGUUUUCCACAGGGAACUCCAUAGAUAUUCUUGUCUUCUUGAGUCUUCUUACUAAAGAAUUGUACAAGAAAACAAACCCCAGAAAAGAAGCUAUCACUCCUCCAACUAUGUACUGGUAAGCCAUUAUCUGGAAUGAAAUGAUCAAAGAAGAAUACGAGAACAGGGGCGAUGAGGCUGCUUAUCUUUUGUACUCCCUCUUCAAAGCUUAUUUAAAUCAUUUUUUCCAAAACGGGGGAUGGAUACCCACUUGCUUUGCAGCCGGCUUUAUGCAAGUGGAUAUGACUUGCGGAGCGAUUGGACAGCCAGGCGGUUGCCCGUACGGCUCAAUAACUUCCAAAGUUUAAAAUUAAAUAUUUAAAUAAUUUUUUUAUUAAAAUUUUUAAUUCAAUAAAUCAACUACCAUAUAAAAUAAAAAUAAAUAUAAAAUUCAAAUUAAAAUAAAAAUUUAUAAAAUUAAAAUAAUAAUACCUAAUUGUUGAAUAUUUAUUGUAAAUAACAAAUAAAACUUAUGAUUUUAUGAAAAUAAUAGUAUAAUAAAUUUUUUAUGUAUUCUUUGAAAGAAAAUUAAAAUUUAAAAAAAAUAAAUAAAAAAAGAAAAAUUUAAAAAUAGAUAUUAUAAAAUAAAAAAUAUUAAUUUUAUAUAUAAAAAAUAAUUAUUAGAGAUAAUUAAAUAUUUUAANUAUAAAAUAAAUAAAUAUUAAUUUUAUAUAUAAAAAAUAACUAUUAGAGAUAAUUAAAUAUUUUAAUUGAUUAAAAAUAAAAAAUAAUUAAAAAAAAACUAUUAGAGAUUAUAAAAUACAUAUUAAUGUUGGUUGAUUGAAAAUAACAAAAAUAAUUGGACAGUAUUGUAGGAAUUGAAAAUUGAUAAAAAAAAUUUUAAUUUAUUAAUUAUUUUGAUUUUUAUAUGAAAAAUAAAAUAAGUAGUUGAGAAUUAAUAAGAAUAUGAAAAAAGAAUAAAAUAAAUAUUUAUUAAACUUAAAAGAAUAAAUAAAUAUUUUAUUAAUUAAUUAUAUUAUUAUUAUUAUUAUUAUAAAAUUAAAAAUUUAUAAAAUUUUGGCACCUAAAGCCACCGUUUGGUAGCUUUACCCUUGAUUCUCAAUCAUUCGCUAGAUACGUCUCCAUCAGGUUUGGAUCUUCCAGCCACGCAUUCCUUGUCCAGGAGCAAUGGCAAAUAAUAGGAGCAAAAAUGGUAAAGCACCAGGAUAUAUGGCUUGACAUAAAUAGUAAGAGAUAAAGGAAGAAGAAAAAACGAUGAUUAUAAUUAAGUUGUUAUCUUUGUAAAUUCUUUUAACGGUUACAAGUUAGUAUUUAUCUAUUGUUCUAUCAGAAGAAAAAUAAAAUAGAAAAGUUGAUUUAAUUGAUUAGUUUGUUCAUUUUAAUUAUAACAUGAUACUCUUUGAUGCUAUUUAGAAUGUAAAUUUUUGAACAAAAGGAGCAAAAAAGUUACACAUUUACGUUAUAAUUUAGGAUUUUAUUAAAAAAUAAAAAGAUUAAUUACUCUUAAAUAGAGAAAAGAAAUUCUAAAUAAUUAAAUUAAAUUUUUUUAUUUAGACUUUACGUAUUUCAUCUGUUAUUGUUGAUUUAUUUACAUCUCAAAAAAUAAUUGUGUUUAAUUUUAUCGUUUGUGAUACUGUAUGCUUUUUUUUAUAGAUAUUUUUACUUGACUUAAUGUUCAUAAAGUAUAUUAAUUAAGUAUAUAUCGAAUGUAAUUUUAGUUUGUUGCAAAAAUAAAAUCAUGAUAAUUCAUAAUUCGGUAAUUAAGUAAUAUUCCUAUAAUCACAUUACAUUAUACAUGUAUUAAGUUCAAUGUUUUGAAAAAAAUAAAAAAUACCUCCAUAAAUUAAUUUUUUAUUAAUUAACGUAUAAAUUAAUAAAUUAUUAAUUUGUUGAUUAAAUAAUAUCUCGAUUAAUUCAUAAAUUUUCAUGGUCCCAAGGGUAUUAAUUUAUAGAAGUUUUACUGUAUUUUACAUCUUUUAAUGAUGUGAAGAAAUGUAAUGUUAGUAUACAUUUUUAGACAAAAUACACUGACCCUCUUAAGUUUUGACUAUAAUUAUAUAUUAAUCCAUUAGUAUUAAAAAUGGACAGUUUACCUUAAACGUGUAAAUGGUGUUAACGAAAAAUAUAAAAUAUCUACAAUAUCCUUCUUCUUUUUCCACUUUUUUUCACUAUUUUCAUUUUUCUCAAGCCGAUCGGCUUGGUUGACCACCCCGCUACUACAUUUGGCCAUUGAAUGCAUAUCCGUUUAGAUCUCUCUAGGGGGAAGGCGAGAUCAAUGCUCCUUUAGGAAGCAUGGGGGGUGUGCAACCAGAUCGCGCUCCCACUGGGGAGAUUUGGCUAGAGAUGGAUUUGGUGUUCCCACAAUCGGAGCUAGAUCUGGCACUCUGGCCUCGAGAACGCUAAAGGUAAGGUAGAGACAAUUUUUUUUAGGUAAAAUAUUCUCAUUCCCCUAACUUUUAAUCAUAAUUUCAUGCAAGUCUAUUAAUUUUCAAAAUAGAUAGUCUACCCAAAAAUGUAAAUACCGUUGACAAAAACUAUGAAAGGACUAAAAUGUCCUUUCUUCUUUCUCUCAUUUUUGUUCUCAAACAAUGUGGUUAGCCAGCAACUGGCCGACCACCCCACAAUAGGUGCUCCCUAAGGGAGGGGAGCACCUUUGGGAGCACAAAUCUAAUGCUCCCAUGAAUUUUUUGCUCCCUUGAUUUUUUUUUUAAAUUUAUAUAAUAGUAAUUUUUAAAAUUAAUAAAGGAUAAAAUUAUACUUUCAAUAUUGUCACAUCAUUAAAUUAACAGAAACAUUAAUAGUUGACUAACGAUUAGAUUUAUAUAUCCAGCAUAAAAUAUUUUUGAUAUGAAAUGUCUAUUUUGAAAACUAAUGGACCCGUUUGAAAUUUUGAUCAAAAGUUAAGGGGUCUAGGUAUUUUAUCCUUUUUUUAAUAAGAGAGAAAAAAAUUUAAAAAUAAAAAAUUAUAAUUUAUAUAAGAUGGUAAUUUUUAAAAUUAAUGAAGGGUAAAAUUAUCUGAAAAAUAUUUUCAUGUUAUCAAACUAAUAGAAACAUUAAUGGUUAGCUAACGACUGGACUUAUGUGUCCAACGAAAGAUUUUUUUUUUAGCAAAUUGUCUAUUUCAAAUACUAAUAGACUUGUGUGAAAUUAUAAUCAAAACUUAGGAGAGUCAGGGUAUUUUACCUUAUAUUUUAUUUUCAUGAUUUUAUGUACUUUUAUUUUGCACUAAAUAGGUUCUUCAUGAUGAGUUGAUUAAUUGUUUGACAUUAAUCAAAACAUUAUUUGUCAUUUAAUAUCUUACCAUGGUCUUACAUUGAAGAUGAUAAAUAUCAUGUGAUCAUGUUAAUAUACCACAAUAGUAUGUCAUAUCAUCAUUUGCUAUGACAUAUUAGUAUAAAGUUAUUUAUCAUUAACAUGAAAAACAAAAAAUACUACAACGUGAUCAUGUCAUGAAAAAUAUUGCAUGAUUAUGUUAAUAUGCCACAACAACAUGUCAUAUUACCAUAUACUAUAACAUGUUAGUAUAACAUUACUUGUCAUUUUAUACCCAUAUGGCAUUAACGUGAAAAAUGAAAAAUACCAUGAUGUGGUCAUGUCAUGAAAAUUGUUGCAUGAUCGUAUGCCAAUAUGCUACAACAGUAUGUCACAUGUUAGCAUAACAUCAGUAUGUUAUGUCACCAUUUACUAUAAUAUGUUAGCUUGCCACAUUAAUACCACAUAACAUAAAAAUGAAAACUGAUAUUGUUAUUAGUCAACUGUUAAUUAUAAGAGUCUAUUUGAUCAAAAUUAAAAGUACACUGGCUUAAUUAAAUAUAAUAAAAAAUAGAAAUUUAUUUAAAUUUUUUUGAAUAACUUAUGAGCUCUUUAAAAUAUUAUGCCAAGAUUCAAUAAAAAAAUCUAUCGAGCAUAUAAUUUUUAAUAAUAUAUUAAUCAAAAUUUUAAGUUGAUGUGAAAGAGUCGUUUCCAAUUUUUUUUUUUUUGUUUAGGUGUGAUUGGCCCCUUCAAUAGAUAUAUUUUUUCUAAUGAAAUCUUAAAUUCAACUUAAAUGCAUUAAAAAAAUAUGUUUUGAUGUAUAAAACAGAUUAAAUUUGGAAGUACAGUUACUUGUGAAAAAAGUAUUAGUAAAAUGGUACCAAAUUAAUCAUGUGUUAUUUUUAACUUUAUUAAAUUUUAAUUCCAUUUUUAAUUUUAUUUUUACUAAUCAAUUUGUAUAUAUUUUUUUUAUAAAAAUUCAAAAUGGUGAAAGAAAACUUAUCUCAAUUUUUUCAAUGUGCUGGCAAAAAUUAAGAAAUUUGACUAAAAAAAAAAAACUCUUCUUGACUUUCCUAACAUAUUGGUAAAACUCGAGAAGUUUUAUAAAACCUUUCGUGAAUUUUUCCAAGUUUUGUCAAAAACCUAAAAAUUUAAAAAAUAUUUUCUUAAUUUUCCCAACAUUUUGUAGUAAAUUGUCAAAUUUUUAUUAAAUUUUUUUUGACUUUCCCAACAUGCUAGCAAAAAUCAUAAAUUUUUAUGAAAAUUUCUUUUAAAAUUUUCUCAAUGUUUUGGAGAAAAUCCAAAAAAUUGGAAAGAAAAAAGCUUUUUCUCAAUUUUCCCAACAUCCUGGCGAAAAUUGAGAAAAUUUUAGUAAAAGAAAAUUUUGGCUUUCUCUAGCCUAGAUGUGGUCAAAACAUUUAUUUUGAUUGUCAUAACAUGUGACUUCAAAACUCUAACCGUUCAAAAGUGAAGUCAUCGUUAAUUUUUUUUUAUUUAAGUGCGGGUAGUCACCUAAGUAAAUCAAUCUUUAUUAAUGAAAUUUUAAAUUCGACUUAAGUUCUUUAAACAGAAUAAAAAUUUCUUAAUUUUUACCAACAUGGGAAAGUCAAGAUGUUUUCUUUUGAUAAAAAUUUUCUCAAUUUUCGACGGUGUGUUAGGAAAAUUGAAGAAAAACCUUUUUUCUCUUUCAAAUUUUUUAGAUUUUAGCUAAAACAUUGGAAAAACUCAAAAAAGGUUUUCACAAAACUUUUCGAUUUUUAUUAAAAAGAACUUUUAUUGUAUUAUCAUAAUUUUUCCUAAAAAAAUCUAUCAUAAAUGUUUAUUAAAAUUUAUUAUCUUUUUAUGAUUUAAAAUUAUUACAUCCUAUCUUAUUUUAAUGGUACAAUAAUACUCAAUAGAAUCUACUCAAAAACUGACUCGACACUAUUUUCAUUAAAAUCAGCAAAAAAAAACAAAAAACAAAAGCAAAUUUUGUAAAUUGGGUUUCUAGAAUCCAAUGGAUAACUGCUCUUGUGACGAUUUCGAGAAGGAUUGCAGCAAGUUUGAUGAUCUCUGCUAAGAUAGCAUCUUCUUUUACUUGCUCAACAAGUUGCUGAGUAGCAGACAGGAAAUUUUCUUGUGAACUUGGAAUUGUUAGACUCUCGGAAUGACCAAAGUUUCUUUGAAUGUCUGUAGAUGCUUGUUGCUGCAGAUUUCUUGAAUCUGUUUUCUUAGAGGGGAGGAGCUCUGUAGUAUGCUGGCACAGUUAGAGGGAAAAACAUUUGUCUGACUCCUUCAGACUUUAUAAGGGGGAAAAGGAUACCUGAUGCAACCUGAGAAAACAAGAAAUUGGAAAGGUAACACGUCAGAUUUGUUUUAGGUUGUUCUGAAGUUGCAGUGAACACAAUUGGCAAAGAAACAUGACAAUGUAACAAUAUUUUAACAGAGAUACUGACCCAAAUCAGUUUAGCCCCGGUCCAAAUGCGGUUGGGAGAAGGAAAUGGAAGUAACAACCGGCCAACACCAUACACUGCCAUGGCAAAGAAGUGAAAUGCUAAGCUUGAUGGACGAGGGUACAGACCAGAGAGUAGAGAUGAUAGUCCAUUUGAAAAUAUGCCUCCAAGACUCAAAUAGCCGAAACAUGCUUGUUGCAUUUGCUCCAUUGCAGGAUCAGACGAGGCACUAAAUACCUUGUGUAGGGUGUCAGCCAACGUAUUUAUCGUAGAUGCCAUUGGCUGCAUGCAGGACCAAAACCAUCCAGUUAAUGCAAAAUUCUACAUUUUCUGAUGCAACUUAGAGAAGUUGCCCUCAAUUUAGUUACCAAAAAUAAUGCCAGAAACAUUUGAAAUAAUGUAACGGAGGUGUUUAUGCACAAAAUGUAUACAUGAAUUGUAAAUUUACUGCAGAGAGGAACAUAUGUAUGUAGCUUACCUUCCUCAGGGUAUAAAAAGAUUCAAGAUAUCUGCAAACUGCCGAUGCAUUACCUAGAUUGUGCAAGGGUCUUAGAAGAUCCCUUAUCACAACAACAUCAGAUAGUGCAACAGUCAUUCCUCCUCCGGUUAUAGGAUGUCGCAUAUUGAAUGCAUCACCCAUCAAAAGUGCACCAGGAGUAGGGAGUGGAGCUGCUGGCAUGGUUCUAUUCGCCAUAGUUCUUAUGUUGUUCUGCUUCUCUACUGCAGAGAUAAAGGCAGUGUAUAGUUCAGGAGGAAUCUGCAUGUAUAAUUGAGUCAUAUGGUUAGUCCACAGAUGACAGAAACCAGUAAAAUAUAACGGUGGCGAUGUUAAAAUUUUCAGGGAGAGGCAGAACUGCAAGGCAAGGUUUCCAAAAAUGAUGAAAGAAAGACAGCAGCUACCUUGGGAGCUAUCACAGUUUUUAAGAAAUGGGCCAUUUCACCACCUGAAACAGA
Molecule: long non-coding RNA, 8324 nt
Filed under: Theobroma cacao (cacao)
Lineage: Eukaryota; Viridiplantae; Streptophyta; Magnoliopsida; Malvales; Malvaceae
Description: long non-coding RNA (TCAC_LNC000696)
Source: RNAcentral